RNAcentral lists this long non-coding RNA (1515 nucleotides) under Monodelphis domestica (gray short-tailed opossum). RNAcentral describes it as "lncRNA (ENSMODG00000034161.2)". Lineage: Eukaryota; Metazoa; Chordata; Mammalia; Didelphimorphia; Didelphidae. The record is from RNAcentral.
AUUCUAUUUUGAGCAAAAGGAGUCUUUGAAUUCUAGGUGGAAGAGGAAGUGACUUAACAGCAUCAUUAGAAGAAGCCGAGGGAAGUAACUAUGGAAUUACUUAAGGCACUCAGAUUGAAACCAGAGAAUCAUAAAAGAACAUUGCAUCAAGUCUUCAGUUUUCUGGUAGAAAUAAAAAGAGAUAGUGUUUUCCCUAUUUAAACAAUUUUUAAAAAAUUAAACAAAUAGUAGAAGAGGAAAUAACUGAUGGGAAGGCAUCUUCUGCAAAGACUUUACAUGCAAAUAAAUGGAUAAAUAGUUAAUUUCAAUUUAGUGAAGGAUUAAUGAACUUUCCAUCAACCAAUCCUAAAGAAGGCAAAAGCGUCAGGUCAAGGCCUUUGUCCAAUAAUGACAAGAGACUGUCAUUGGGGCCAUAGAUAGGAACUUCCUGCAGAUUUUGGUCAGGAAGCACUUAGUAGAUUCAUAGUAAAAUGCUAUAGAAAUGUGAAUUAUUGUUAUUGUUAUGAUUAACAUUUAAUCUAUAUAGUACUUUUACUCAUAUACUUCUGGUCUGAAGUGGAAACCAAAGCUUUCUACAUGCUGUUGUUCCUACAAUGCCAAGCUCCAGUUCUGCCUUCUGUGGGAAUCUUUCUUUAAACUGAGCCCUGGGUCAGGUCAGUUCAAGUCAACAAGCAUUUAUUAAUCUUUUACAACAUGCUGGAUAUUGUGCUGAGUGAUGGAAGUACAAAUAUAAGCAGCAAAGCAGCCCCUGCUCUUAAAGAGCAUACAUCCUAAUAGGAAAGUACAACUCAAGAGAAGAAGCAGAAAAGGAGAAGAUGGAAAAAAGAAGGGAGAAGGGCCUGUGAGAGUUCAUGGUAGAGAAAAUGUUAAGUGUCAAGAGCAGAUCCCAGCAAGGAACGAAGACAUAGCUAUCCUAGACAUCCAGCCCACUAAGGACAUCAGGGGUCAGAAGCCACUAAACAGCUGUGAGAAUGACUGGUGACCCACAAUGACUGAAUCAGGCAGGCAAUUAAAGAAGGGUUCAGUCUUGGCCCCAGUGCCAAGGCCCAGCAUCAGCUGAAUCCUGGGAACAAGAUCAUCCUGCUAAACAUGAGCCAUCCUUGCUGGAGUUAAGUAAUCCUGGACUGUAUUUCUUUGAGUAAAAUUGAGUAAAGUUACCAAUUAAAUAUUAUUUUAAUCCUUUUAUAUUUGUGCCACAAAAUGGCAUUAAUAUGCCAAAAAUGAUAUAUUCAAUUAACCAAUAAUCAUUUAUUAAGUAUCAACUAUUUUCUAAGGAUUGGAAAUAUAAAAACAAUCAUGAAACAUUCACUAUCCUGAAGAAACUUACAUUCUAUCAAGGGAGGUAACAUAUAUACUUAUAAGUAUUUAUAAAUAACAUUUAAGCAUUAUUGUGAGUAUUUAAAUAUGUGCAUGUGUACACUGUCAGCCUGGAAAACCACAGAACCACCAAAGCAGUGAUUCUUUAGAACCUUCUUUAAAAGUUCUUUAAAUUCUAAAGAAUUCGUCUUUAAUCUG